Molecule: ribosomal RNA, 480 nt
Filed under: uncultured bacterium
Lineage: Bacteria
Description: partial 16S ribosomal RNA
Rfam family: Bacterial small subunit ribosomal RNA
Source: RNAcentral
GAUGAACGCUAGCGGCAGGCCUAAUACAUGCAAGUCGAGGGGUAUGGGUUGCUUGCAACCCAGAGACCGGCGCACGGGUGCGUAACGCGUAUGCAAUCUACCUUAAUCAGGGGGAUAGCCCGGAGAAAUCCGGAUUAACACCGCAUAACAUUGAGUUGUGGCAUCACAGUUCAAUCAAAUAUUUAUAGGAUUAAGAUGAGCAUGCGUGACAUUAGUUAGUUGGUGAGGUAACGGCUCACCAAGACCACGAUGUCUAGGGGAUCUGAGAGGAUGACCCCCCACACUGGUACUGAGACACGGACCAGACUCCUACGGGAGGAAGCAGUAAGGAAUAUUGGUCAAUGGGCGCAAGCCUGAACCAGCCAUGCCGCGUGCAGGAAGACGGCCCUAUGGGUUGUAAACUGCUUUUGUACCGGAAUAAACCUUCUCUUGCGAGAGAAGCUGAACGUACGGUAAGAAUAAGGAUCGGCUAACUCCGUG